Non-coding RNA from Arachis ipaensis, 1206 nucleotides. The record is from RefSeq and is a predicted model, not a curated record. Lineage: Eukaryota; Viridiplantae; Streptophyta; Magnoliopsida; Fabales; Fabaceae.
CUGCCGCCGCCGUUCCAUGGAGCCGCCGCCAUUGUCGCGCGAACCGGAGGGUGUGGAGACGGAGAAGAGUGUGCACGAGAGAGGAGUAGCCACCAUCGUCGAGGACUCCAUCACCACCGCUGAAGGUCCUGACCGUCGAGCUCGUCGUCGCCGUCGCACCUCCCAUCACUGCUGCCACUAAAGAGCUCGAAGAGAAAGAAAGGGUUCGCGCGGAGAAAGAAACACGAUGUGGGAGGAGGAGGUUGCCUCUGUUGCUGCCAAGCCGUCGCUGGCGGGGUUGGGUUCGCCGUCGCUGUUGAGCUGUGCGCCGCCGUUGGUAUUUGGAUCGCCACUCUGUUUCAGCUGCAACUCGCCACUGUACUGCCAUCAGACAUGGAUGUACGUAUUGAUCUCUGAAUUAAAGCUUACUUGUGUAUAUAAGAUUCUUGAAAUGGACACCUAUAGAUACCACGGGCACUCUAUGUCUGAUCCUGGCAGCACAUACCGUACAUGUGACAAGAUUUCCAAUGAGAGACAAGAGCGUGAUCCAAUUGAGAGAGUGAGGAAGCUAUUAUUGGCUCAUGACAUUGCUUCUGAGAAGGAGCUGAAGGUAUCAGACUUGACUUAAAGAAUUAUGGGCUACGUUAUAUUUUUUGUGGCUUCCACUUUGGAGUUUGUAAAUGGAUUCGAGUCCUCUCAUAGGGAUUAUAGAUCUUAUUAUAGACAUUGAUGAAAGAGUAUGAAAGGGCUGCGCUUCAUCUUGAUAAAGUUAAGCUGGUCUUACGGAGAUUAAUUGAUGUUCAAAAAGCAAAGGCUUAUGCAUCAAAAGAUGACCCUUUGGAGUUAUGCUCACCUGUGACAAAAGUUACUCUUGUGGCUGAGGUGAUGCUUUCUCUGCUCUAGUCAAAUGUUGAUGGCUACAUGAAAAUAAGAUACAUGAAUAUAGCAUGUUAACAAAAAAAUCCAGUUAUUUUAUCCCCAAAAACAAAAUGCAGUUAGUAUUGAUGGUUCACUUUAUUUUAUUUUGGAUAUUUUAUACAUUUCCUACCAUUAUGAUUUGCAACUUGGUCUGUGCGAUGGUUCGCUUUAGUUUGCCUAUGUCUUUGGUAUGAACUACAGUGGCUGUAGAAUUCCUAUGUUAAUCUUGAUGUGAUAUUAAAACCAUUAUGUACUCCCAAGUCUCCAACAUUUCUUUCAAUUCAUGAAAAGAGGGUUGGGUUAGGUUAG